AAGACUAUAGACCUGCGGAGUACCUGCGGAGGGAUCAUUACCGAGUUUACAAAACUCCCAAACCCUUUGUGAACCUUACCUAUCGUUGCUUCGGCGGGACCGCCCCGGCGCCCUCGCGGCCCGGAACCAGGCGCCCGCCGGAGGCCCCAAACCCUCAUGUCUUUAGUGGUUUCCUCCUCUGAGUGACAUAAACAAAUAAAGUAAAAACUUUCAACAACGGAUCUCUAGAUCGGAAGAGCA
Molecule: unclassified non-coding RNA, 240 nt
Filed under: soil metagenome
Description: partial contains 5.8S ribosomal RNA, internal transcribed spacer 2, and large subunit ribosomal RNA
Source: RNAcentral